GACGAACGCUGGCGGCGUGCUUAACACAUGCAGGUCGAACGGAGCGAAUGAAAGCUUGCUUUUAUAAGCUUAGUGGCAAACGGGUGAGUAACACGUAGGCAACCUGCCGACAGGAUGGGGACAACAUUCCGGAAGGAAUGCUAAUACCGAAUGAAGUCAGAGGAGGGCAUCCUCUUCUGAUGAAAGAUGGCCUCUAUAUAUAAGCUAUCACCUGUCGAUGGGCCUGCGUCUGAUUAGCUGGUAGGUGAGGUAACGGCUCACCUAGGCGACGAUCAGUAGCCGGUCUGAGAGGAUGAACGGCCACAUUGGGACUGAGACACGGCCCAGACUCCUACGGGAGGCAGCAGUGGGGAAUCUUCCGCAAUGGGCGCAAGCCUGACGGAGCAACGCCGCGUGAGUGAAGAAGGUCUUCGGAUCGUAAAGCUCUGUUGAUGGGGACGAACGUGCCUAAUGCGAAUAGUUUUAGGUAAUGACG
RNAcentral lists this ribosomal RNA (475 nucleotides) under Selenomonas sp. oral taxon 140. RNAcentral describes it as "bacterial SSU rRNA". It matches the Rfam family "Bacterial small subunit ribosomal RNA", at positions 28 to 474 of the family's 1533-position model. Lineage: Bacteria; Bacillati; Bacillota; Negativicutes; Selenomonadales; Selenomonadaceae. The record is from RNAcentral.